RNAcentral lists this ribosomal RNA (303 nucleotides) under uncultured bacterium. RNAcentral's name for it is "bacterial SSU rRNA". It matches the Rfam family "Bacterial small subunit ribosomal RNA", at positions 355 to 674 of the family's 1533-position model. The record is from RNAcentral.
UGGGGAAUAUUGCACAAUGGGGGAAACCCUGAUGCAGCGACGCCGCGUGAGUGAAGAAGUAUUUCGGUAUGUAAAGCUCUAUCAGCAGGAACGAGACAAGACGGUACCUGACUAAGAAGCCCCGGCUAACUACGUGCCAGCAGCCGCGGUAAUACGUAGGGGGCAAGCGUUAUCCGGAAUCACUGGGUGUAAAGGGAGCGUAGACGGCUGAGCAAGCCUGAAGUGAAAGGCGGGGGCCCAACCCCUGGACUGCUUUGGGAACUGUACGGCUGGAGUGCAGGAGAGGUAAGUGGAAUUCCUAGU